This 20-nucleotide ribosomal RNA is filed under the name Streptomyces scabiei. RNAcentral's name for it is "partial 23S ribosomal RNA". Lineage: Bacteria; Bacillati; Actinomycetota; Actinomycetes; Kitasatosporales; Streptomycetaceae. RNAcentral also lists the same sequence under 5 other names. The record is from RNAcentral.
GGCCAAGUUUUUAAGGGCGC